GCCAGUGAUGUCUCAAUACGAGACCAGGGCGUGUUUAGUCGCGCGCACGCGUUCAACAAGGCGCGUUCUUUUUAAACAUUUAACACUAUUUACAAGAAAGGGAAAAAAAUUUCAAAAACGAUCGAAAGUACAAACUAACGGUAGGCGAAAUCGGUUUUUAAUGCGUAGUUAGCUCAGUGAUAGCUAGCUGUAACUCAUGAUCAGCGUCACUACGUGCUGGUUCUGAGCGUUUGUUUGUUUGUUCUUAGAAGUAUAAAACUUUUUUUUUUUUUUUUUUUUUUGUCCACAAGGCACAGCACACAACGCAGCGUCCAUAAUCCCAGCAAUUAUAUUUAAUCUGCACUUAGACGUCCCACAGCCUCUCAGGUAGAAUUUGGCUAGUUCAUGCACUUUAAUAGCUAGUAAUCAGAGAGUGAGGAACGCAAUCACGGCACGUUGUAACUAUCAAGCACAAAAAAAAAAAAAAACGGAAAAGAAGGCGGCCUGAUGCGUGCUCUCUCUGAUCCUUGAAACGAGAACGGAGAGAGUCGUUUCCGAUUGACGUUUCGUAAUAGAAAAAUGUUUUCAUUUUUGAAGUCCCUGAAUUUCUUUCUUUUUCUUGAAAAAAAAAAAUUUUUUUUUUUAUUAAAGGCCAGAUUGCUUCUAAGACACUCGUGUAAUCCCUCUUCAGCUUCUCCUCAUCCGAAGCUGUCGCUCGACUUUAGGAGCAGAUCACGUUUCUCCCCGCUUCAUUUCUGUGCUCUGUCGUGCAGAAGGCUGUGAUCGCACAGCUAGUGAAAUAUACCCUCACCGUCACCGGCCAAUCGUGUGGUAGCAGCGCAAUGCAUCAAACCGUGCAGCUUCAGUUAACGUCCAUGUCGAAUUUCAUGACGGGGGGCCACAUCUGGUACCAACACCCAUGCCACGGUUAAACUCGCAGAGAUCAGAUUUUCCCCCAUUCUGAUGUUUGACGUGAAGAUUUUAUGACUUGUGCUACUGCCACAUGUUUGAAGGAUCGGAUAAUCGCAUAAGCGAGCAGGUGUACAGGUGUUCCUAUUAAAGUGGACAGUGAGUGUAGAUCAAUUUGAUUGUAUUCAAGGUUUUUUUUUUUUUUUUUUUUUUUUUUGCAGUGCUUCCUUAUAUUCUUGCGUUUUGAGUUUUUCCCCACACUACUAGACUAUGAAUGUUUUGUUUUUUUUUCCUCAACCUGCUGUCCUUCCAGCUCUUAAAGACCAAGAUGCUUGUUUAAAGCACUUCGAUCACAUCAUCUCCGUCUAAAGUGAGCACUUUUCGAGUACUUGCGCCGCAAUCCGCCGGACCCGGAACGCGAUUUUUCACCCGGGUUCGGAUCUAAACGCGCCUGAGGCUCAGCGCGACGUCGUAUUCGCGUGCCUAAUCUCUGAAUUCGCUUAACGGAUCGAUCGAGAUGUGUGUGAAACGAUUUCUCCGUGAUCGGAGACGUGGAAACGACCUGGCGUCUUCCGGCGGCGUCCAAAUCGACGGAACCGCGUUACAAAUCUAAACGUCCGAAGUGUCUCCCAACACGUUUUCGCCACACAGAAGCCGCACGUCAAGUUAAAAAGCAAAUUCUUUCACGUAGAAAACGACGCAAAGGGAAAUCGUCGCGACGUCAGCCGCGUUUAUGUCCGACGUGGAGAUGUUGCCCGAGUUUCGUUGCACUUUUCCGUAGGUCAGGGUUUGUUUCUUUCUUCUUUUUUUUUUUUUCUUUUUCUUUUCUCCUGGAAUUCCCAGUAUGACGGAUUGCACCAUUAGGAACGUUUGUGAUGCCUGUGCUGCACUGUGACCUUUUUAGGAAGUGGGGAAACUUAGUAAUCGCGAUCGCGGCAUUUUUUUCGACGUGCGUACGAGUUACGGAAAAAUCGGGAAUAAAAACUUCUCGCUCGCUGAACUCAGUAGGAAUUCGGAUAUGAUGGGGGGGGGGGGGGGGGGUGUUUUCUUUGUUUUGUGUGUUUGUUUGUUUGUUUUUUUUCCUAGCUUCAUUCGAACAAGACGGAUCCAAAAAAAUAACCUCCCCACACACACACACACACACACACACACACACACGAUGAAGACAUGAUGAUUGUUACAUUCAGGACCGGACGGUUUAGAUGUAGCGCUGAACGACGUGCCUUGAUCCCAAACGAACUCUGAACUUCUUACUUAUUAACCGAACUAAGUACCGCCCCCCCCCACCGCGGUCUUCCGUCGCUCUGCUUUGCACCUUGAGAUAAACGACAAACCAGCAACGACCGUCUCGUCAGCACCUUUCUAUUCCAAAUAACAGCAACCCCGGCACGUCCCGCACGAAGCCCCGACAGCGAAUCGAUUCUGAAAAGCUUUACAUAUAACCAAAUAUCUCGUAGUUUGCGACACCCCUCCUCCGCCGCGUGUUACGCAUUUCAUCCCGCGACUCAGUGUUUCGCUUUCCGAAUGCUCCGUUAAUCCGUUCCGUUCCAUCCUGCGCCCCGUUUCGUGCGGUUCUCUCCGCGAUCGGCCCGAGUUCUAGCGCACCGAGGCCGCUCGUGGAUCGCCGCGGUACAAAAACCUACGAAACAAACAGCGUAAACUGGAGUCUUUUAUAUACGUGUUUUAAACUCCCGUGUGUUUCGGUUGAAGACUGGAAUCUGAAUGUGUGGAAAAGCAAACGCUUUCCUUUCAACAGCGUGCACUGUAUCUGUAGCUGAGUUGUGAAUUGUUACAUGGAAACACUAAGGUAUCUCGAAUUUUUUUUUUUUUUUUUUUUUUUAUAAAUAAACUCAACUGGAAGUCUUACCUUGUAGAAGAGCCGGUCUGGAGGAGCGCCACGCUACACAGGAUGUAAUCCAGACAUCGGCCGUGAUGGAUUUACCUCCUCGGUGCUCUUUUGCUGUCCGAGACUCUGACGCGAGGCGCUUCUCUAACGUUCUGAUCGUUCUAACUGUUGGAAUCACGUCAAAACAUGUAGAACUUUUUUUUUUUUUUUUUUUUUUAAGAGAGAAAUAAAAGAAAAUCACGACAUGAAUGAGUUGUUAUCAAUAUAGACUUACGAUAGGAUUCCUGUUUUGAUGCGUUUGAUGUUUGUUUGAUUUUUGUUUUUUGUUUUUGAAUCCAGCAACGAUGGAAAAAGAACCGGGUCUUUCCACUAAAGGCGAGGCGAUUUUUGAGAAACGCAGCAUGUAUUUAUUGCACUUUUGUGAUUUGGGUGUGCUAUUUUUAUUUGUAUUUUUUUUUUUUUCCUCCUCCUUUCCUUGUGAGACUUAUGAAAGCUGUGAAUUUUUCCCAUCGACACUGUACUGUCAACGAAAAAUUGUAAAUAUGUCACCAGCACAAGAACAUGUUUUGUAGUUUCACAACAAAUAUAAAAAAAAAUGGUUCUUUGC
Molecule: long non-coding RNA, 3341 nt
Organism: Ictalurus punctatus (channel catfish)
Lineage: Eukaryota; Metazoa; Chordata; Actinopteri; Siluriformes; Ictaluridae
Source: Ensembl